UACGAAGGGGGCUAGCGUUGCUCGGAAUCACUGGGCGUAAAGCGCACGUAGGCGGCUUCUUAAGUCAGGGGUGAAAUCCUGGAAGCUCAACUCCAGAACUGCCUUUGAUACUGGGAGGCUCGAGUCCGGGAGAGGUGAGUGGGAACUGCGAGUGUAGAGGUGAAAUUCGUAGAUAUUCGCAAGAACACCAGUGGCGAAGGCGGCUCACUGGCCCGGUACUGACGCUGAGGUGGCGAAAAGCGUGG
RNAcentral lists this ribosomal RNA (245 nucleotides) under uncultured bacterium. RNAcentral's name for it is "partial 16S ribosomal RNA". It matches the Rfam family "Bacterial small subunit ribosomal RNA", at positions 524 to 764 of the family's 1533-position model. The record is from RNAcentral.